This is an RNA transcript of Zea mays, 2613 nucleotides long. It is a transcript of the gene named boron transporter-like protein 2, with no coding region annotated. The record is from RefSeq and is marked validated. NCBI's taxonomy places the organism in Eukaryota, Viridiplantae, Streptophyta, Magnoliopsida, Poales, Poaceae.
CUCGACAAAGCCCACGCCGCGCCCUCGCCCUCGCCCUCGCCCCCCUGCCUAGGGCUCCGCGCCGCCCCGAGGAGAGGAGAACGCGCGCGCGCGCGCGCGCGCCAUUGCGGAUCCAAACGCUCCGCCGCCUCAACUCCCUCGUCAAUUCACCUCCGCCGCCGCCGCCGCGCCGCUUCGAACACGAUGGAUCUACUGAGACACCCCUUCAAGGGAGUUGUCACUGAUAUCAAAGGAAGGGCCACUUGGUACAAGCAUGAUUGGGUUGCAGGACUCCACUCUGGCUUUAGGAUAUUGGCACCUACCAUGUAUAUCUUCUUUGCCUCUGCUCUCCCUGUCAUUGCCUUCGGAGCACAACUGAGCACGGCAACAAAUGGAAUACUCUCAACAGUUGAAACACUGGCAUCGACUGCGAUAUGUGGCAUCAUACAUUCAAUUCUUGGAGGGCAGCCUUUGUUGAUUGUUGGAGUUGCCGAACCAACUAUUAUCAUGUACACUUAUCUCUACAAUUUUGCCAAGAAUCAUCAAGCUCUGGGUGAGCAGCUAUAUUUGGCGUGGACAGGAUGGGUCUGCAUCUGGACUGCCAUCAUGUUGUUUCUUUUGGCAACGUUCAAUGCUUCCAACGUUAUUAGCAGAUUUACAAGGAUUGCAGGAGAACUUUUUGGCAUGUUAAUCACUGUUCUCUUCUUGCAAGAAGCUAUCAAGGGGAUGAUAAGUGAAUUUAGUGUGCCCGAAGACGCUGACAGCAGUUCACCAAUAUACCAAUUCCAGUGGCUCUAUGUCAAUGGCCUACUCGGUGUCAUAUUUUCAAUUGGCUUGCUGUACACUGCAUUGAGGACCAGGCGAGCAAGGUCAUGGCUCUAUGGCACAGGGUGGUUUAGAAGCUUCAUAGCUGAUUACGGCGUCCCACUUAUGGUGAUUGUGUGGACAGGAUUGUCGUAUUUACAUCCAGGCAAGGUGCCUUCAGGAGUCCCCAGGAGGCUUUCUUCUCCACUUCCCUGGGAGUCAAGUUCACUGGGACACUGGACCACAGCAAGGGAUUUGUUUUCUGUCCCUCCAGCAUAUAUAUUUGGAGCCAUUCUGCCUGCUUUUAUGGUUGCAGGACUUUACUUCUUUGAUCACAGCGUAGCUUCACAGUUGGCACAGCAAAAAGAGUAUAAUUUGAAGAAGCCUUCUGCCUACCACUAUGACAUUUUGGUCCUUGGAUUCGUGGUCCUGCUCUGCGGUUUGCUUGGUAUCCCUCCAUCUAAUGGAGUGCUUCCUCAGUCUCCCAUGCACACAAAAAGUCUUGCUGUCCUUAAGAGGCAGUUGCUAAGCAAAAAGAUGGUUGAUACUGCCAAGGAGAGCAUAGGAGGAAGUGCUACCAGUUUGGAAAUAUAUGGCAAGAUGGAAGAAGUUUUCAUCAAAAUGGAUAGCGAACAGAAUACUGAUUCUGUUGACAGGGAGUUGAAGAACUUCAAGGAUGCUGUUCUGCAAGAAGGCGACGAAGAAGGGAGAUUGGCUAGAGAAUUUGACCCUCGCAAACAUAUAGAAGCCCACUUGCCUGUCCGAGUGAACGAACAGAGACUGAGCAAUCUGCUGCAGUCCAUACUGGUUGGUGGGUGUGUUGGAGCUAUGCCAGUCAUCAGGAUGAUACCCACAUCGGUCCUCUGGGGUUACUUUGCCUACAUGGCCAUCGACAGUCUACCAGGGAAUCAGUUCUGGGAGAGGAUACAGCUUCUGUUCAUUACAGAAAGCCGACGCUACAAGGUUCUUGAAGGUCCCCAUGCAUCGUUUGUGGAGUCAGUGGUUCCCAAAACAGUAACCAUCUUCACGAUCUUCCAGUUGGUUUACCUCCUAAUAUGCUUCGGCAUAACGUGGAUACCGAUAGCCGGGAUCCUGUUCCCAGUGCCUUUCUUCCUCAUGAUCGUCAUCAGGCAGUAUCUCCUCCCAAAAUUUUUUGAUCCCGUCGUCUUGAGGGAGCUCGAUGCAGCUGAGUACGAAGAACUUGACGGGGUCCCCCUUGAACACAAACUGGAAGAUGAAGCAUCUGAAGUAGGAAGUUGUCCUAGCCGUCCUGAUGCGGAGAUAUUGGAUGAACUCACGACCAACCGCGGAGAGCUGAAGCACAGAAGUUCUAGCCUGCGUGAAGAAAGACCAAUUCAAGUGACAGUGAGCACGCAUAUGGAGCCAACCGGUUGAAUUUUUUGGGCUCUUUUCUUUUCUCUGGGAUAACAAGUAGUCAAGUACGCACCACGCAUGUCAGUGGCUGCUUUCCGCCUAACAUAGGAAGAUUUUCACAGGCUAGUUCGAGUUGCUUCAAGUGCGGUUCAGCCAAGCCUGUGAAGACGGCGAAGUGUUCUUUUUAUCCGUAGAAUUAUGAUCCUCAAGCUGCACUCCGUUGAUGUGAAUACUGUUGCUAUGUAAUGUACUGCUACUACUAGUGUUGUACUUGGGUUUUUGACCCAAACGCGUCUGUUGGUAAGGGGUGAUUUGUAAGAACAGGGACUUACGUAAACUACGUAGGAUCGAUUGGUAAGAAGAGAGGGAGAGAGGAGAUGCAAUACAAGUCUUCUUGGAUAUGAAAGGGGGAAUGCCGAAGGGGCAUGGAGUAGAAUAAUAUCAUAUAUUGUCAUU